UUCUGUGUGGAGCAAUUUGUGGGAAGAAUAAAACAAAUCAUCCCUGAUCCAAAAACUCUGCUUCUACCUGCUGGCUCACAUCUGAAAUACUCCUCCCUGAGAGUGUCAUUUUAUGACUUUAAUCCCUACUAUGCUGAAAAUAACCCAGAAAGAACGCAGGAGUCAGAGAUUUUACCCUACUUGCAAACUAAAAAGUGAGCCUGCUACAGUUUCAUGGGUGUUGACAGAAGACACAAGAAGACAAAAAGCUUUACUCCUGACAGCAAGAGCAGUGGCCGAGUGUCAGCAUAUUCUUCACUGGUUUGCCAGCCCCCAAUCCCCAUGUUCCCA
RNAcentral lists this long non-coding RNA (330 nucleotides) under Pan troglodytes (chimpanzee). RNAcentral describes it as "long non-coding RNA NONPTRT007699". The record is from RNAcentral. Lineage: Eukaryota; Metazoa; Chordata; Mammalia; Primates; Hominidae.